AAGCGCUCAUGACCAGACUUGGGCCCGGUGAAUCAUCCAGCGUUCUCGCUGGUGCACUUUGCCGGGCACAGGCCAGCAUCAGUUUGCCGCGGGGGAUAAAGGCUUCGGGAACGUGGCUCCCUCGGGAGUGUUAUAGCCCACCGUGUAAUACCCUGGGGGGGACUGAGGUUCGCGCAUCUGCAAGGAUGCUGGCGUAAUGGUCAUCAACGA
This 210-nucleotide ribosomal RNA is filed under the name Metarhizium sp. RNAcentral's name for it is "partial large subunit ribosomal RNA". The record is from RNAcentral. Lineage: Eukaryota; Fungi; Ascomycota; Sordariomycetes; Hypocreales; Clavicipitaceae.